UGGGGAAUAUUGGACAAUGGGCGAAAGCCUGAUCCAGCCAUGCCGCGUGUGUGAAGAAGGUCUUCGGAUUGUAAAGCACUUUAAGUUGGGAGGAAGGGCAUUAACCUAAUACGUUAGUGUUUUGACGUUACCGACAGAAUAAGCACCGGCUAACUCUGUGCCAGCAGCCGCGGUAAUACAGAGGGUGCAAGCGUUAAUCGGAAUUACUGGGCGUAAAGCGCGCGUAGGUGGUUUGUUAAGUUGGAUGUGAAAUCCCCGGGCUCAACCUGGGAACUGCAUUCAAAACUGACUGACUAGAGUAUGGUAGAGGGUGGUGGAAUUUCCUGUGUAGCGGUGAAAUGCGUAGAGAUAGGAAGGAACACCAGUGGCGAAGGCGACCACCUGGACUAAUACUGACACUGAGGUGCGAAAGCGUGGGGAGCAAACA
Molecule: ribosomal RNA, 427 nt
Filed under: uncultured bacterium
Lineage: Bacteria
Description: partial 16S ribosomal RNA
Rfam family: Bacterial small subunit ribosomal RNA
Source: RNAcentral